GAGUAGGUUAUUGCCAGGGUUUUUAUUUUUAUACUUUAAACUUUGAUUUUAUUUUUAUGUUUUUUAAAUAUUGGUGUUUUUGAAUGUGUUGUUUAAAUAACAUAAUUAAUAAAAUAUAUAUUGACAUGUAUUAAACAAAGAUAUAUAUUAUUUUAUGUUGUAUAAAUAAAUUGGCAAAAUAGAGAUGGAAGAUAAAAAUAUGGUCAAAGUAAUAAGAGUCUAUGGUGAAUGCCUA
RNAcentral lists this unclassified non-coding RNA (235 nucleotides) under Borreliella burgdorferi (Lyme disease spirochete). Lineage: Bacteria; Pseudomonadati; Spirochaetota; Spirochaetia; Spirochaetales; Borreliaceae. The record is from RNAcentral.